Oncorhynchus tshawytscha (Chinook salmon) is the source of this 4176-nucleotide long non-coding RNA. The record is from Ensembl. Lineage: Eukaryota; Metazoa; Chordata; Actinopteri; Salmoniformes; Salmonidae.
CACGCAGCUGAUUUCUUUAAAAGAUAGACAGGAACAUGGGCAGGAUGUUUAUACAGCAAAAUGUAAACAUUUUCCCUGGCCUUCUUUAAAUAAAAAAUCAAGCAAAAAGCCCCGCUAGAUCAGCUCAUACUCAAUCUGAUGCAUUAUGUCCGUUUUAGACAGCUCCUUGUGUAUGGAUAGGACUUUUCAACGUAAAUGCAGAAAGAGAUUUCAAUCAUGUAUAAUUAUUAUGUUCACACAGGAGAACUGAGGGAAAGAGCUCUGAGCCCAGCCGAACAUUGAGCACUGAAACUCGGCUGAGGACUUUAGAUCGACGCCCACCAAACACUCUCUCCUCAGAAUGGUGCUCGAAUCAAGCCCUCUGUGAUGGAUGAGAGAGAGAGGGUUUUCCAGUGAUGGCAACAGUUCCUAUGACAACCAGACCUCCACCGGGGGAUUGCGUCUGUCAGACAGUGCUAAUGAUAAUUGAGAGGUACGGAUCAAAAAGAUUGAGUAUGGCUGUAAUCUCUCCUCCAGCGGAAUACCAGAGAAACCGCUAUGAGAUGACAAUUUUCCCCUCUCACCACCGCCCUGCUUAGUCCUGCACUGCUCUACACUGCAUGCUUCUACUCUGCUCUAUACUAUAUGCUUCUACUCUGCUCUAUACUAUAUUGCUGCUGGAGGCCUCCCAGCCUGCCCCACACAGGGAAGAGAGUGAAUGGAUAAUGUCACUGUGUGUGCAACCUCCUUCGGUGUCUCCCUUCCCUCAGCCUCACACACAACACAGGGCCAGUCCAGGGCAGUUUGUUUCAGAUGCCAGGGAAUAUAUCAACAGGGAGAACUCAAUCAGAAGAAAGGGUCAGAGUAGGACAUCACAGAGAGAGGGAGGGAAGUCAGACCACAGCCAGCUCUGAUACAGGUUACUUACAGAGGCUUUGAUAGUUGCUGAUGGGACUUUGAUUGGAGCGUAAGCAGGUUUAUAUGAUGCAUGUUUAUAUGCGUGUUUACUCACAGACCACCAUCUCUCUCUCUCCCGUUCUGAAGGGGGAUUUUCCUGUGGCGAGCCGCUUCGGAAAAAGCAAUUAAGAAUUCCCAAACAGUGCACAACAAUGGGAGACGUCGUUCUGCAAUGCAAGUUCCGAAUCCAAGUCAGUCCCUUACGGUUUUCCUCUGAAACGGUCCCUGGCUAUAUUUAAUCCGCCCUGAGAGCAGAACCAACCUACAUACAAACCACAAAUUGAAACUAUGUGGAGGUGGUUUGUGGAGUGUGGGCUAAGUGGGGAUGGUAAUUGUCUAUUGAGAAGCUUAGGCCUCGCUAUUCUGCCUGCAAUAAACAGGCUUGGCAGCCCAUAACAUGAUACCCCUGCCUCCACUCCACUGUUUGAGUUGGGGAGCAGAUCCUCCUUGUCUGUGGGAACCCAUGGCCCAGCAGUGGUCGGAAUCAGUCAGGAAUGCUUUGGAAUGGUAACACAGCGGAAGGCUAGGGUGGGAAAAAGGCCAAGAGCAUUUCCUGAACAGAGGGGGGUCCCAGAGAAGCAUCACACUUCACUGGCAUCAUAUGACAGGGAUCCCACCAGGCCUGAGCCCAUGAUCCCGAUUGGAGGAGAGAGAUGCGGUAGGGGAGAGGAGGGUGAAGCUGGAACAGAAGAGAGGUGGAUACGCAAGAAAGGCAGAGUGGUGAGGUGAGAUGGAUGCAUUGGGAUGUUUGAGUCAGAAAAGGGGAGUCAGGGGGAGAGACACAUUCUGCUAAAAUGUACAUCUUUAAUUUACCCUGAGUGAAGUAAUGCAGUCUGGACUGGCUGGCUGGCUGGGUUUGGAUGAAUGUCUGAGUGUGUUAUACCACUACUUUCAUGAAGAGGACUUCACAGUCUCUAAUUUCUGCCCACAACAAAGUGCCUUCCACUGUAUCUGUGAGGAAUAAACAGUAUAUACUGUCAAGGUCUCCAGAGAGGUCACUGAGACCACGUGGAAGACUGGGAGUUCUUAGACCACUGCUACUGAAAGACCUGCAAGAAUCUGUGCAGCAGUGUGGGGUAUCCUACAUACAUUCUAAAAGACUGUUCCCUCUCACCACAGCAAAGACAAUGUGGUGAAUAUUUUGGCACAGCACAGGCAUGUCAGAAUGAUUCUGAGUAUAUCCAGUUAACUGAAGGUCUGAAAUAUAACUUUACUUAGUAACACGUGAUACUUUGCAACACCCUGCAACAGUAAGUGAUGAAUGCUUUGGUUGAGAGCAGUAGAUCAGACGGUGUUGAAAACUGUGAAGCAGACAGGUUUUGCAGCUGAAAUUGGACAGUACAGUAUAUCUGUCAGAGUGUGUGUGUUUGUCCAGACCUAUGAAUCGGUGUGUGUGUAUCCAGACUGGCGUGGACAGCCAGUCCCUGCUCCCUGGGGCUUGUGUAAAUGUCGUGAGGAUCUCAGGAGGAAUCUUUCCCCUCCAGUCGUCAAAGGGCUUUUUAUUUCCACCUGCUCCCGGCCUCUUUCCGUUGGUCUGCUCUAUAACAAUGGUGCUGGAAAGGCAGCAGAGUGCAGGGUGACAGCACAGAGAUUGAUGCUAGAUUGUGUUUGGCCCUUUUUCAGAUAGGGGCCUUUGAAGGGAAGUUGCACCCCCCCCCACCAACACUACGACCCCUCCACUACCAUAUCCACCUCCUCUCCCUCUAACACUGGGCUUAGCAGAGGGCAAAGUGCUGAUCAGGCCUUUCUCCCAGAUCCCUUUUUACAAAAGUACCAAUCGCCUGAAAAGGCAACUUGGCAGGCGGUGGUAAACAGGCUUUUCACUACUCGUAAAUCAAUUCACCACUACAUGAAACAGGAUGAAGCUCAUUUACGCCACGCAGACGGUCGAACCCGAGCCCAGAGACGCCCCACCUCGCCUCCGGCUGCUCCCUCUCUCUCGUCAGGCCCCGGGGCUCUGGGCAGAAAAGAGCUACACGCUCAUCAGGACAGCAUUCUGUCUGUUUCACCGAAGUGGCCUGGCGAAGAGGGUGAUCCAUCACCUCAAAUGUCUUUUUUUCUAAUGUUCUGUUUUCCUCUCUAUCUCUCUGUAGGCUGGAGUGGGCAGGCAUGCGGGUUUGGCCACAGGAAGCCAUGAAUUCCUCGGAGAACAGAGGGUGUCAGGGCCCAGAACACGACUUGGGGGAGUGACAUACUGUACCUUGUAACGUCUCAUAAUCCUCCUAGUUGACCCCUGACCCCGGCCUGCGUUUGUAUCAGGUCAUCGACGUGAGGAAUUGUAAUGAGUCACUCCAGCAGUGUGUUUACCUUCUGGAGUCACGCACGGAAGGAAAUAAGGCACGGUCUUCUAAAAGUGUCAAAGUGAGUGAGAAUAGCAGCAGUAUUAGAGCAGAGCCCUGAUUCAUCUCACUGUGACUGACACUGGGUUUAUUUAACCUAUUCACUACUGUAGGGAGACUAGCUACAGAUCAGCCAAAACAAGGAGUAAGUCUACAAUAUACCGCACUGUAUGAAAACAUAAGGUAUGAGAUUAAUAGUGUAAUUCUGUAAUUGAAGUCUGAUUCAUAGUUUGGUUCACUCAUUGAGUGAAAUGAUCCGUGUACUGUAGUAUGUAGGUACAGCUUGUUUUUGCUAUCACUGUGUAAUAUGUUGCUAAUAAUCCGAACAUGUAUUAUUUUUGUCAUAAUUUUCUGCUGACUGUGUUGCAGUCGUUCCAGUUUUUUGCUAUGCCCAAUGAAAUUAGGAGAGAUUAAGUAAUUUCCUUUCUCUGUCUCAUGCAACAAUCAUAAAUGAGGUGAUUUUUCUGUGUAAUAAAAAUGUAUUGCAAUACAUUUCUGACUCUCCCAGAUACAGAUUAUAUUAUACGCUUUAGAGGAGAAAUCGCUGCACUCCCAAAUACAUUGUUUUUUUAUCUUGAACUUGAAACUGGAAUGAGUAUGGAACUGUGGCCAACGCCUGUGAUUAAAAUACAAUGUCCUGGCCUACCAUCACGCUGUAGCCUUCGACACUGUGGGCUUGUGUGAUUGCACAAUUGUUGUUUUUGAGCAAGUGCCCUUGUUAGUUUUACUCUGUAAAUAAAUGUGUGCUUCGAGCUGACAAUUCAUCCUCUGUUACUUUCUUUCCUCCUUAUAUUGGAGAGGAGAACAUCAUCACUGACCAGUGUCUCCACCACACACACACACACACACACACACACACACACACACACACACACACACACACACACACACACACACACAC